CACUCCUACGGGAGGCAGCAGUGGGGAAUUUUGGACAAUGGGGGCAACCCUGAUCCAGCAAUGCCGCGUGAGUGAAGAAGGCCUUCGGGUUGUAAAGCUCUUUUGUCAGGGAAGAAACGGUGGUGGCGAAUAACUACUACUAAUGACGGUACCUGAAGAAUAAGCACCGGCUAACUACGUGCCAGCAGCCGCGGUAAUACGUAGGGUGCAAGCGUUAAUCGGAAUUACUGGGCGUAAAGCGUGCGCAGGCGGUUGUGUAAGUCAGAUGUGAAAUCCCCGGGCUCAACCUGGGAAUUGCAUUUGAGACUGCACGGCUAGAGUGUGUCAGAGGGGGGUAGAAUUCCACGUGUAGCAGUGAAAUGCGUAGAUAUGUGGAGGAAUACCGAUGGCGAAGGCAGCCCCCUGGGAUAACACUGACGCUCAUGCACGAAAGCGUGGGGAGCAAACAGGAUUAGAAACCCGUGUAGUCC
This 470-nucleotide ribosomal RNA is filed under the name uncultured organism. Its description in RNAcentral is "partial 16S ribosomal RNA". It matches the Rfam family "Bacterial small subunit ribosomal RNA", at positions 334 to 796 of the family's 1533-position model. The record is from RNAcentral.